CUGCUUUUAAUACUGCAGGACUAGAGUCCGGAAGAGGAUAGCGGAAUUCCUAGUGUAGAGGUGAAAUUCGUAGAUAUUAGGAGGAACACCAGUGGCGAAGGCGGCUGUCUGGUCCGGUACUGACGCUGAGGUGCGAAAGCGUGGGGAGCAAACAGGAUUAUAUACCCUGGUAGUCCACGCUGUAAACGAUGAGUGCUGAAUGUGGGGGCUUUUGCCUCUGUGUUGUAGCUAACGCGUUAAGCACUCCGCCUGGGGACUACGGUCGCAAGACUAAAACUCAAAGGAAUUGACGGGGACCCGCACAAGCGGUGGAGCAUGUGGUUUAAUUCGAUGCAACGCGAAAAACCUUACCACUUCUUGACAUGGAGGCUAGAUCCUUCUUAACGGGAGGGCGCAGUUCGGCUGGACCUCACACAGGUGCUGCAUA
RNAcentral lists this ribosomal RNA (427 nucleotides) under Anaplasma ovis. Its description in RNAcentral is "bacterial SSU rRNA". It matches the Rfam family "Bacterial small subunit ribosomal RNA", at positions 621 to 1047 of the family's 1533-position model. The record is from RNAcentral. Lineage: Bacteria; Pseudomonadati; Pseudomonadota; Alphaproteobacteria; Rickettsiales; Anaplasmataceae.